This 464-nucleotide ribosomal RNA is filed under the name uncultured bacterium. RNAcentral's name for it is "SSU rRNA". It matches the Rfam family "Bacterial small subunit ribosomal RNA", at positions 26 to 518 of the family's 1533-position model. The record is from RNAcentral.
AGAAUCAACGCUGGCGGCGUGCCUAACACAUGCAAGUCGCACGAGAAAGGGGAGCAAUUCCUGAGUAAAGUGGCGCACGGGUGAGUAACACGUGAAUAAUCUACCUCCGAGUGGGGAAUAACUGAGAGAAAUCUUAGCUAAUACCGCAUAACACUUACGAGUCAAAGCAGCAAUGCGCUUGGAGAGGAGUUCGCGGCCGAUUAGUUAGUUGGCGGGGUAAUGGCCCACCAAGACGAUGAUCGGUAUCCGGCCUGAGAGGGCGCACGGACACACUGGAACUGAAACACGGUCCAGACUCCUACGGGAGGCAGCAGUGGGGAAUAUUGCGCAAUGGGCGAAAGCCUGACGCAGCGACGCCGCGUGAGGGAUGACGGCCUUCGGGUUGUAACCUCUUUCAGCAGGGACGAAGCGAAAGUGACGGUACCUGCAGAAGAAGCGCCGGCCAACUACGUGCCAGCAGCCGC